RNAcentral lists this transfer RNA (70 nucleotides) under Sinobatis borneensis (Borneo leg skate). Its description in RNAcentral is "tRNA-Tyr". It matches the Rfam family "tRNA". From Rfam's summary of the family: Transfer RNA (tRNA) molecules are approximately 80 nucleotides in length. Lineage: Eukaryota; Metazoa; Chordata; Chondrichthyes; Rajiformes; Anacanthobatidae. The record is from RNAcentral.
GGUAAGAUGGCUGAGGGUGAAGCGGCGGCUUGUAGUUCCGUAAAGAAAGGUUAGAGUCCUUUUCUUACCA